RNAcentral lists this ribosomal RNA (532 nucleotides) under uncultured Acidobacteriota bacterium. Its description in RNAcentral is "bacterial SSU rRNA". It matches the Rfam family "Bacterial small subunit ribosomal RNA", at positions 13 to 528 of the family's 1533-position model. Lineage: Bacteria; Pseudomonadati; Acidobacteriota. The record is from RNAcentral.
UUGAUCCUGGCUCAGAAUCAACGCUGGCGGCGUGCCUAACACAUGCAAGUCGAACGCGAAAGGGGGCAACCCUGAGUAGAGUGGCGUCCGGGUGAGUAAUACGUGGAUAAUCUACCUUCGGGUGAGGAAUAACUUUCCGAAAGGGAAGCUAAUACCGCAUAAAAUCUUGAUGGGGAAUCCUGUUAAGAUCAAAGUGGGGUAUCGCAAGACCUCACGCCUGAAGAGGAGUCCGCGGCCGAUUGGCUAGUUUGUGAGGUAAAGGCCCACCAAGGCGACGAUCGGUAGCCGGCCUGAGAGGGUGGUCGGCCACACUGGCACUGAAACACGGGCCAGACUCCUACGGGAGGCAUCAGUGGGGAAUUUUGGGCAAUGGCCGAAAGGCUGACCCAGCAACGCCGCUUGAAGGAUGAAAUCCUUCGGGAUGUAAACUUCGUAAGUCAGGGAAGAAUUAACGUGACCUAAUACGUCACGAUAUGACGGUACCUGACGUAAGCCCCGGUUAACUACGUGCCAGCAGCCGCGGUAAUAAGGU